RNAcentral lists this ribosomal RNA (418 nucleotides) under Klebsiella pneumoniae. Its description in RNAcentral is "bacterial SSU rRNA". It matches the Rfam family "Bacterial small subunit ribosomal RNA", at positions 327 to 737 of the family's 1533-position model. Lineage: Bacteria; Pseudomonadati; Pseudomonadota; Gammaproteobacteria; Enterobacterales; Enterobacteriaceae. The record is from RNAcentral.
CGGUCCAGACUCCUACGGGAGGCAGCAGUGGGGAAUAUUGCACAAUGGGCGCAAGCCUGAUGCAGCCAUGCCGCGUGUGUGAAGAAGGCCUUCGGGUUGUAAAGCACUUUCAGCGGGGAGGAAGGCGGUGAGGUUAAUAACCUUGUCGAUUGACGUUACCCGCAGAAGAAGCACCGGCUAACUCCGUGCCAGCAGCCGCGGUAAUACGGAGGGUGCAAGCGUUAAUCGGAAUUACUGGGCGUAAAGCGCACGCAGGCGGUCUGUCAAGUCGGAUGUGAAAUCCCCGGGCUCAACCUGGGAACUGCAUUCGAAACUGGCAGGCUAGAGUCUUGUAGAGGGGGGUAGAAUUCCAGGUGUAGCGGUGAAAUGCGUAGAGAUCUGGAGGAAUACCGGUGGCGAAGGCGGCCCCCUGGACAAA